AACGAACGCUGGCGGCAUGCCUAACACAUGCAAGUCGAACGAGACCUUCGGGUCUAGUGGCGCACGUGUGCGUAACGCGUGGGAACCUUCCCUUAGGUUCGGAAUACCUCCCCGAAAGGGGUGCUAAUACCGGAUAAUCUCUUCUGACCAAAGAUUUAUCGCCUCUGGAUGGUCCCGCGUUGGAUUCGCUAGUUGGUAGGCUAAAAGCCUCCCAAGGCGAAGAUCCAUAGCUUGUCUGAGAGAAUGAUCAGCCACACUGAGACUGAGACACGGCCCAAAAUCCUACGGGAGGCAGGAAUGGGGAAGAUUGGACAGUGGGUGAAAGCAUGAUCCAGCAAUGACGAGUGAGUGAAGAAGGCCGUAGGGAGGUAGAGCUCUAUGAACCGGGAAGAUAAUGACAGUAGCGGGAGAAUAAGCAACGGCUAACUACGUG
RNAcentral lists this ribosomal RNA (433 nucleotides) under uncultured bacterium. Its description in RNAcentral is "partial 16S ribosomal RNA". It matches the Rfam family "Bacterial small subunit ribosomal RNA", at positions 29 to 507 of the family's 1533-position model. The record is from RNAcentral.